GGGUCCUAGCUGCGUUGCCCUGGUAACAACUGUAAACAAAAGGCUGCGGUUAACUGCUCCGCUCCCUGACAGGAUUUUUCAUUCAUUCGUGCCAAUGAAACAGGAGGCCUCGAUUCAUGCAGAAGAUAAGGUUUGAAACCCAGACAGCACGAAGCAUCUUGCCGACGUCAAAAUCAGAUCAACAGACAGGGACAUCAGCCUUCUCUUGGGAAUAGGCCAGAUAUGCCAAACAAGAAAUGGUGUUUUGCCCCUGCGGUUGUGAAGAGGAUGCUGUGGAGGUGGCAGCAUGAACGUGUCACACAGACAUUGGCUAAACUAC
Long non-coding RNA from Engraulis encrasicolus (European anchovy), 319 nucleotides. RefSeq lists it as uncharacterized. NCBI's taxonomy places the organism in Eukaryota, Metazoa, Chordata, Actinopteri, Clupeiformes, Engraulidae. The transcript is spliced from 3 exons. The record is from RefSeq and is a predicted model, not a curated record.